RNAcentral lists this ribosomal RNA (471 nucleotides) under uncultured bacterium. RNAcentral's name for it is "bacterial SSU rRNA". It matches the Rfam family "Bacterial small subunit ribosomal RNA", at positions 335 to 798 of the family's 1533-position model. The record is from RNAcentral.
ACUCCUACGGGAGGCAGCAGUGGGGAAUAUUGCACAAUGGGCGCAAGCCUGAUGCAGCCAUGCCGCGUGUAUGAAGAAGGCCUUCGGGUUGUAAAGUACUUUCAGCAGUGAGGAAGGUGGGUAUGUUAAUAGCAUACUCAUUUGACGUUAGCGACAGAAGAAGCACCGGCUAACUCCGUGCCAGCAGCCGCGGUAAUACGGAGGGUGCGAGCGUUAAUCGGAAUUACUGGGCGUAAAGCGUGCGCAGGCGGUUAUAUAAGACAGAUGUGAAAUCCCCGGGCUCAACCUGGGAACUGCAUUUGUGACUGUAUAGCUAGAGUACGGCAGAGGGGGAUGGAAUUCCGCGUGUAGCAGUGAAAUGCGUAGAUAUGCGGAGGAACACCGAUGGCGAAGGCAAUCCCCUGGGCCUGUACUGACGCUCAUGCACGAAAGCGUGGGGGAGCAAACAGGAUUAGAUACCCUGGUAGACAU